GACGAACGCUGGCGGCGUGCUUAACACAUGCAAGUCGAACGGAAGGGCCUGCUUUCCCUUGUGGAUUGCGGGUACUCGAGUGGCGAACGGGUGAGUAACACGUGAGUUAUCUGCCCCCAACUUGGGUAUAAGCCUGGGAAACUGGGUCUAAUUCCCGAUAGGACUGCAGGGUGGUGCCUGUGGUGGAAAACGAUUUUCUAGUGGUUGGGGAUGAGCUCGCGGCCGAUCAGCUUGUUGGUGGGGUAAUGGCCUACCAAGGCGGGGACGGGGAGCCGGCCUGGGAGGGCGGACGGCCACAUUGGGACUGAGAUACGGCCCAGACUCCUACGGGAGGCAGCAGUGGGGAAUAAGGCACAAUGGGCGGAAGCCUGAUGCAGCGACGCCGCGUGGGGGAUGACGGCCUUCGGGUUGUAAACUCCUUUCGACCGCGAGGAAGCCACCUGGUUGGAAGGGUGGUGACGGUAGUGGUAGAAGAAGCACCGGCUAACUACGUG
RNAcentral lists this ribosomal RNA (494 nucleotides) under uncultured bacterium. RNAcentral describes it as "partial 16S ribosomal RNA". It matches the Rfam family "Bacterial small subunit ribosomal RNA", at positions 28 to 507 of the family's 1533-position model. The record is from RNAcentral.